GAUGAAGAACGUAGCGAAAUGCGAUACGUAAUGUGAAUUGCAGAAUUCAGUGAAUCAUCGAGUCUUUGAACGCACAUUGCGCCUUCUGGUAUUCCGGAAGGCAUGCCUGUUCGAGAGUCAUUAACAACCGUUUCGAUCCCUUUCUUUCAGAAAUUACAAAGAGGAAAAGGGUUUGGUUAUGGUGGAGGAGGGAAAGGGAGCGUUUAGCCUGUAAAAAAAGAGGCUGUGUUCCGCCUCCCCCCCAAAAUUGUACAGGCGGUCGUGUGCGCCCACGCAUCGAGGUGUUGUAAAAGCUGCCACGGCACUUUUCACCUGUGCAGUGCGAGAUUGGCCAGCCGGUUUAAAAACCCCUCCAAACAAUCAAAGGUUGACCUCGGAUCAGGUAGGGAUACCCGCUGAACUUAAGCAUAUCAAUAAGCGGAGGA
RNAcentral lists this unclassified non-coding RNA (425 nucleotides) under soil metagenome. RNAcentral describes it as "partial contains 5.8S ribosomal RNA, internal transcribed spacer 2, and large subunit ribosomal RNA". The stretch from base 1 to 120 matches the Rfam family "5.8S ribosomal RNA", at positions 35 to 154 of the family's 154-position model. The record is from RNAcentral.